GGAAAAAAAUUACAACCAAAACAAUACAUAUGUGUCCAUACGAAAUUGGAGUUGGAAGCAUCCAAAAAAUUCAAUCAAAUUUACAUACAAUACUAACACGGAUAAGAACAUCAUCUAGAACAUAUGAAUAACAAUAAUAGUAAGAAACACACUUAAAAACCUCAAAUACAACAAUGUCAAUAAUCACAUGAAGAAAAGAAAAAAUAUGAUAGAACUCAUGUUAUUCAACCAUCCAAUUUUUAGAAAAACCAAAGCACACCUAUGAGAGUUUUUAAUUGGAGACUCUGUGAAAACUUAAGAAGACAUUUGAGAGCCAAAACUUGAUUCUCAUUUCUUCUUCUACAAUUGGAACCCUAACUCCUCUUUAAGUUUUCAUCUCCCUUCUCAAUAUAUGAGGACCUCUAGACUUCUCCUCUUCUUCUUCUUCCAUGUUGAAACCCUAACUUUCCUUUUCUACACUCUCAUGAUUUCUCCUUUUCACUCUUGUUCUUGGUCCUCGCUACUCUAAUAGGGGUGUGGGUUUCUAUGAUGAUGGUUCUUUCAUGAUUUUCCCUUUUCCUCUCUUACUCUCUCUCUCUCUGUCUCCCUCUCUCUCUCUCUCCC
Molecule: long non-coding RNA, 603 nt
Filed under: Cicer arietinum (chickpea)
Lineage: Eukaryota; Viridiplantae; Streptophyta; Magnoliopsida; Fabales; Fabaceae
Description: long non-coding RNA (CARI_LNC003663)
Source: RNAcentral